Molecule: ribosomal RNA, 717 nt
Filed under: uncultured bacterium
Lineage: Bacteria
Description: bacterial SSU rRNA
Rfam family: Bacterial small subunit ribosomal RNA
Source: RNAcentral
GGAUAACACCUGGAAACAGAUGCUAAUACCGGAUAACAACACUAGACGCAUGUCUAGAGUUUGAAAGAUGGUUCUGCUAUCACUCUUGGAUGGACCUGCGGUGCAUUAGCUAGUUGGUAAGGUAACGGCUUACCAAGGCAAUGAUGCAUAGCCGAGUUGAGAGACUGAUCGGCCACAUUGGGACUGAGACACGGCCCAAACUCCUACGGGAGGCAGCAGUAGGGAAUCUUCCACAAUGGACGAAAGUCUGAUGGAGCAACGCCGCGUGAGUGAAGAAGGGUUUCGGCUCGUAAAGCUCUGUUGGUAGUGAAGAAAGAUAGAGGUAGUAACUGGCCUUUAUUUGACGGUAAUUACUUAGAAAGUCACGGCUAACUACGUGCCAGCAGCCGCGGUAAUACGUAGGUGGCAAGCGUUGUCCGGAUUUAUUGGGCGUAAAGCGAGUGCAGGCGGUUCAAUAGGUCUGAUGUGAAAGCCUUCGGCUCAACCGGAGAAUUGCAUCAGAAACUGUUGAACCUGAGUGCAGAAGAGGAGAGUGGAACUCCAUGUGUAGCAGUGGAAUGCGUAGAUAUAUGGAAGAACACCAGUGGCGAAGGCGGCUCUCUGGUCUGCAACUGACGCUGAGGCUCGAAAGCAUGGGUAGCGAACAGGAUUAGAUACCCUGGUAGUCCAUGCCGUAAACGAUGAGUGCUAAGUGUUGGGAGGUUUCCGCCUCUCAGU